RNAcentral lists this unclassified non-coding RNA (579 nucleotides) under Hevea brasiliensis (rubber tree). The record is from RNAcentral. Lineage: Eukaryota; Viridiplantae; Streptophyta; Magnoliopsida; Malpighiales; Euphorbiaceae.
CCCCCCCCCCCCCCCCCCCCCUCAACCCCUCUUUCCUUUCUCUUCGCUCCCUCCCUUCCUGCAGCCAAAUUUCAAAAUUUUCUUCAGGUUUCUCCUUGUUUUAAAGUGUUUUUCUUGUUUAGUCUUUUGGAGUUUCUUUUAUAAUAUUUGGAUCAAAUAUGGGGUUCUUCCCCUUCAGUGUCUUAGGUUGAUACUAUUUUUUCAAAUUUGACAUGAGAUUUAUGAUUUCUCUUUCACCGUCCUUUGGUUGGUUCAAGUUUUUGCUCCUUGAGAAUUGGAAGCGCUCUGCAAGCAGAUAUGGCAGUCUGAAUGGUCCUUGACCAAUAUCAAAGGAAUACUGAUAAAUAGACCCCUCAGUGUCAACCCAAGGACCAAGGUGCAAAGGCCAACAAAGAGGUCUGUUGUGGAAGAUUUCAGCUUGAAGGACGAUUUACAGCUGUAGUGUGCUCAUCUACUAGCUUGUUUGGUUAAUUGCAAAAUUAGGAAUGGUUCUUGUUUUAUGUUUUGUGUAUUACGUUCUCAAUCCUACCAAUAGAUGGAGAAGUUUCUAUUAUUCAAAAAUUUCAGUCCAUUCAAAAU